GUUUCCUGGGAAGAGGAAGAGAAGUGGAUAAAGGGACAAGACAUAAGUGCCCCUCGACAAGUUUGUUUUCUUCGCCUUCGCCAGGCCAGUGGCUCAUGUGACAUAUCCAAAAAAACGUUGUUUCACAAAACUCAAACAAAGAGCCGGAACCAAGACCGUUCUGGCGUCGAAAAGGAGAGUUCCCUGAAGACGAGCAUGAAGCCCGCAGUCGCUUUGGACUCGGUGCAUUUUCCCCGAACACCUUAAUUCUGACAAACGGGACGGAGGUUGAUCAAAGGCCAAGCCACUAAGCCAGAGCUGGGGCGAGAGAGAAAAGGGAAACCCAUGGAAGAGAACACGGUUGAAGGCGAAAGAAGUGUCGAGCCGAUAAGAGUCCGGCAACCUCGACUUCACUGUUCAGGUACGAAACUGAAGAAGCAGGGGUAGGCUGAUCAGUGACCACGCCAACGCGACAGAGCGGUGGCACCGAGGAACAUCCGUAGCCGCAGAGUGGCUCUCGUAACUCUACUUAAGUGUUUUACUCGAGGAAGCUGUUUGAACACUGAGACCAAAGAGAACGCGGGACCACACGGUGAACGUGGUGCAUUCUCAUUCGCCUCUAUUCCGUGAACGAGGUUACGUGAACCCGUCGAACAUUGCUCACAGUUUCCCACCCGAGUCGGGUAAUGUUCUCGAUCUCGUCCAUGUCCACAAGAAGCAAACCUUCACGCACGCGUUUGUGAGAGGCAAAACCAUGUGACAGGCAGGACGACGGCGAAUGUGGUCCCUCGUUGUCGUUGUCGUGCGUGGAGAAGCCUGAGAAUCCUUUGCUUUGUGCGGCAAUUCGCAUGUCAGAGUUGCCUACACCUGCACGUUUCUCUUUUUUGUCUGGGUAAACCUCAACAAACCUGUUGAUCGGCGCCAGCUGAAAUGGGGCUGGACAGGACGCAUUGUUAACGAC
Molecule: long non-coding RNA, 940 nt
Filed under: Toxoplasma gondii VEG
Lineage: Eukaryota; Apicomplexa; Conoidasida; Eucoccidiorida; Sarcocystidae
Source: RNAcentral